This 461-nucleotide ribosomal RNA is filed under the name uncultured bacterium. Its description in RNAcentral is "partial 16S ribosomal RNA". It matches the Rfam family "Bacterial small subunit ribosomal RNA", at positions 338 to 795 of the family's 1533-position model. The record is from RNAcentral.
CCUACGGGAGGCAGCAGUGAGGAAUAUUGGUCAAUGGGCGAGAGCCUGAACCAGCCAAGUCGCGUGAAGGAUGACGGCCCUACGGGUUGUAAACUUCUUUUGUCAGGGGGCAAUUUGGUCCACGCGUUGGCUUAGCGAGAGUACCUGAAGAAAAAGCAUCGGCUAACUCCGUGCCAGCAGCCGCUGUCAUACGGAGGAUGCGAGCGUUCUCCGGAUUUAUUGGGUUUAAGGGGACCGUAGGCGGAGUGUUAAGUCAGUUGUGAAAGUUGGCGGCUCAACCGUAAAAUUGCAGUUGAAACUGGCAGUCUUGAGUACAGUAGAGGUGGGCGGAAUUCGUGGUGUAGCGGUGAAAUGCUUAGAUAUCACGAAGAACUCCGAUGGCGAAGGCAGCUCACUGGACUGCAACUGACACUGAGGCUCGAAAGUGUGGGUAUCAAACAGGAUUAGAUACCCUAGUAGUC